Non-coding RNA from Pelobates cultripes (western spadefoot toad), 744 nucleotides. The record is from the annotation of a GenBank genome assembly. NCBI's taxonomy places the organism in Eukaryota, Metazoa, Chordata, Amphibia, Anura, Pelobatidae.
AUUUUGUUUACCUUUAACAAUAUGAGCACUGGUGCUCAUGAAUAUUCAAAGUUCUGAUUUGGCAUAUAAGUAAAAUUUUAUUUAAUUCUUAGGCAUGUUUUGUCAGGUUAGCACGUAGCAUGUCCUCUCAAUUACAAAGUUAUAGGUAUUUCUCUUUCCAUUUGAAGCUCCUUCCUAACAAGCAUUAGUGCACUCACAAAACACCUGUUGCAUCCAGAUAAAUCUAAUAGCAAUUUCAUGUGUUACAUUACAGAAGAUAAACGUGUAAAAUAGAAAGCUAUAAAAGUUAUCACCUGCCCGGAGUCCAUGUUAACCCCCUAAAAACACUUAUUCAGGGUGCUAAACUCAAAUCCAAUAAACAAUAAAUGCUCAGUAAAAGUGUCAAACGUCUUCAAGCCCCUUUUAGUGCUGUAUUGGAGAGCAGCAAAGUGUAUGUGUAUAUAUAUAUAUCUGCUGCCAAAGCAGAACAAACACAUAAAAAAGUUAAAUUAUCUAUUAUAGAAAGAAUACCUAUUUUAUGGGUUGACAUAAUAUCCCAAAAAUUAACAGGCGUGAAUAGUAUGUCCACUGUACAGUAUUUUAGAUUCCACACUUAGAGUAAACGGACAAGAGAUUCCCCAGUUCCUAUGUAGUGAUGUCGGGAACCGUUCGCGAACUUCCCGUGAACUGCUCGCCACGGUUCGCCACGAACCGUUCGUGGCGAGCUCCUGUCACCUGACACAUCCCGGCUAAUCUCCAGCAGAC